AGAGUUUGAUCAUGGCUCAGAUUGAACGCUGGCGGCAGGCCUAACACAUGCAAGUCGAACGGUAACAGGAAGCAGCUUGCUGCUUCGCUGACGAGUGGCGGACGGGUGAGUAAUGUCUGGGAAGCUGCCUGAUGGAGGGGGAUAACUACUGGAAACGGUAGCUAAUACCGCAUAAUGUCGCAAGACCAAAGAGGGGGACCUUCGGGCCUCUUGCCAUCGGAUGUGCCCAGAUGGGAUUAGCUUGUUGGUGGGGUAACGGCUCACCAAGGCGACGAUCCCUAGCUGGUCUGAGAGGAUGACCAGCCACACUGGAACUGAGACACGGUCCAGACUCCUACGGGAGGCAGCAGUGGGGAAUAUUGCACAAUGGGCGCAAGCCUGAUGCAGCCAUGCCGCGUGUAUGAAGAAGGCCUUCGGGUUGUAAAGUACUUUCAGCGGGGAGGAAGGGAGUAAAGUUAAUACCUUUGCUCAUUGACGUUACCCGCAGAAGAAGCACCGGCUAACUCCGUGCCAGCAGCCGCGGUAAUACGGAGGGUGCAAGCGUUAAUCGGAAUUACUGGGCGUAAAGCGCACGCAGGCGGUUUGUUAAGUCAGAUGUGAAAUCCCCGGGCUCAACCUGGGAACUGCAUCUGAUACUGGCAAGCUUGAGUCUCGUAGAGGGGGGUAGAAUUCCAGGUGUAGCGGUGAAAUGCGUAGAGAUCUGGAGGAAUACCGGUGGCGAAGGCGGCCCCCUGGACGAAGACUGACGCUCAGGUGCGAAAGCGUGGGGAGCAAACAGGAUUAGAUACCCUGGUAGUCCACGCCGUAAACGAUGUCGACUUGGAGGUUGUGCCCUUGAGGCGUGGCUUCCGGAGUUAACGCGUUAAGUCGACCGCCUGGGGAGUACGGCCGCAAGGUUAAAACUCAAAUGAAUUGACGGGGGCCCGCACAAGCGGUGGAGCAUGCGGUUUAAUUCGAUGCAACGCGAAGAACCUUACCUGGUCUUGACAUCCACGGAAGUUUUCAGAGAUGAGAAUGUGCCUUCGGGAACCGUGAGACAGGUGCUGCAUGGCUGUCGUCAGCUCGUGUUGUGAAAUGUUGGGUUAAGUCCCGCAACGAGCGCAACCCUUAUCCUUUGUUGCCAGCGGUCCGGCCGGGAACUCAAAGGAGACUGCCAGUGAUAAACUGGAGGAAGGUGGGGAUGACGUCAAGUCAUCAUGGCCCUUACGACCAGGGCUACACACGUGCUACAAUGGCGCAUACAAAGAGAAGCGACCUCGCGAGAGCAAGCGGACCUCAUAAAGUGCGUCGUAGUCCGGAUUGGAGUCUGCAACUCGACUCCAUGAAGUCGGAGUCGCUAGUAAUCGUGGAUCAGAAUGCCACGGUGAAUACGUUCCCGGGCCUUGUACACACCGCCCGUCACACCAUGGGAGUGGGUUGCAAAAGAAGUAGGUAGCUUAACCUUCGGGAGGGCGCUUACCACUUUGUGAUUCAUGACUGGGGUGAAGUCGGAACAAGGUAACCGUAGGGGAACCUGCGGUUG
RNAcentral lists this ribosomal RNA (1522 nucleotides) under metagenome. RNAcentral describes it as "bacterial SSU rRNA". It matches the Rfam family "Bacterial small subunit ribosomal RNA". The record is from RNAcentral.